This 3017-nucleotide ribosomal RNA is filed under the name sediment metagenome. RNAcentral describes it as "bacterial LSU rRNA". It matches the Rfam family "Archaeal large subunit ribosomal RNA". The record is from RNAcentral.
CCCUGUGUCGAAGCUGCUUGGUGGAUGACUAGGCUCAGGAACGCUGAUGAAGGGCGUGGCAAGCUGCGAUAAGCUCCGGCGAGGCGCACGCGGCCGUAGAACCGGAGAUCCCCGAAUGGGACUUCCCAUCAUACUCCCUCACGGAGGGGGAACCCCCUGAAUUGAAACAUCUUAGUAAGGGGAGGAAAAGAAAGCAACACGCGAUUCCGUCAGUAGAGGCGAUCGAAGACGGAAGAGGGCAAACCGAAUCCCGCUGCGAAAGCGGCGGGGGAUGUGGUCUGUGGGCCCGCCUGUCAGCCGUCGCGACAGAAGCCGAGAUGGACUGGAACGUCCUGCCGGAGAGGGUGAAAGCCCCGUAGGCGCAACGUCGCACGGCCUGGCGGCCGCCCCGAGUAGCAUGGGUCAGAAAUCCUGUGUGAAGCUGGGAGCCACUAUCUCCCAACCCUAAAUACGUCCUGAGACCGAUAGUGCAAUAGUAUCGUGAGAGAACGUUGAAAAGCACCCCUGUCGGGGGGUUAAAAGUACCUGAAACCAAGCAGUCACAACUUGUGGCGGCUCGAAAGAGUCGAGUCUCCCUGAAGGAACGGCCAGCAAUGGCCCUGUACGAGGGGAGAGGAUCAGAGUCGCCACGUCCGUCUUGAAACACGGGGCAGGGAGUUUGCGGUGGUGGUGAGGCUAAGUGGAUCAUCCACGCAGCCGUAGGAAACCCAACAGGUCCGCAGCCGUAAGGCGAGGGACGGGGUGUGAAAGUGCCCGCAAUCACCGCCGCAAGACCCGAAAUCGGUCGAUCUAAUCCGGGUCAGGAUGAAAUCUCUCGACAGAGGGAUGGAGGUCCGAACAGGUAUUGACGUUCAACUCAUUCUGUUGAACUCGGAUUAGGGGUGAAAGGCUAAUCAAGACCGAAGACAGCUGGUUCCGUUCGAAGUGGGCCGCAGUCCAGCCCUGCGCGAGGCGGCCGGUGGAGUAGAGCUACCGAUUGCGCGUUUAGGGGAAGAAAUUCCUCGGCGUGCUGUCGAACUCCGAAACCAUCGGCGUCGUAGACCGCAGGAGUCAGGGCAGUGGGGUAAACUCAUUGUCCGAAAGGGAUUCAACCCAGCCUGAAGUUAAGGCCCCCAAGUACUGGCUAAGUCAAAGGGCGUCGGUGGUCCAAGACAGCGGGAAGGUAGGCUUAGAAGUAGCCAUCCUUCAAAGAGUGUGUAACAGCUCACCCGUCGAGAUCACCGGCCCCGAAAAUGGAGGGGAAUCAUGCCAGUCGCCGAUACUUCAGAUCGCGAAAGCGCAUGGUAGAACGGCGUCCCGGUGGGGUAGAAGCAGCUCCGAGAGGAACUGUGGACCUGCCGGGAACGAGGAUCCUGCUAGUAGUAACAGCAUAGUACGGUGAGAAUCCGUACCACCGGAAGGGCUAGGAUUCCUCAGCAAUGUUCGUCAGCUGAGGGUUAGUCGAUCCUAAGGCACGUCGUAACGAGCGCGUGCCGAAAGGGAAGCAGGUUAAUAUUCCUGCACUGCGAGGCUACGUGCGGCAACGCAAGCCCGCUCCCUGACACAUCGGGGUAGGCCGCGCGGGACCGUCGUCCCGUUUAACCCUAUAAUGCUCGGGAGACACGUAAUGUGGAGAACGAGCAGAAAGGGGGAAUAGCACGGCAUUUUGUCGUGUGCGGCUCAUCCCUGGUGUCCGUGAAAAGGGGAGCGUGAAGGACGCUUCGCAUUCGUACUGAGAACUGACACAGGUGCCCCUAGGUGAGAAGCCUCAGGUGUGUUGGGGUAGUCCAGCUAAGGGAAUUCGGCAAACCGGUCCUGUAACUUCGGGAUAAGGGAUGCGCAUAGUCUUGUCAAAGGGACGAUGCGUCGCAGUGACUCGGGGGCCCCGACUGUUUAAUAAAAACGUAGCCUACUGCUAAUCCGUAAGGACUUGUAUAGUAGGUGAUGUCUGCCCAGUGCUGGUAUGUUAAGCCUGGUUUCAACCGGGUGAAGCACCAGUAAACGGCGGGAGUAACUAUAACUCUCUUAAGGUAGCGUAAUACCUAGCCGCUUAAUUGGCGGCUUGCAUGAAUGGCAUAACGAGGGCCCCGCUGUCCCUAGCUGGAACCCAGUGAACCUACUCCUCUGGCGCACAAGCCAGGGUCCCCCGACGGGAAGCGAAGACCCCGUGGAGUUUUACUGCAGUCUGCCGUUGUGGCACGACCCUGAUUAUGCAGGAUAAAUGGGAGGCGUCGAACCGGCCACGCCAGUGGCCGUGGAGCCGUCCUUGAGAUACCAUUUUUUCAGGAUUGUGUCACUCACCCUUUCGAGGGGACAUCGGUAGAUGGGCAGUUCGGCUGGGGCGGCACGCCCUUGAGAAGGUAUCAAGGGCGCCCUAAGGUCGGCUCAAGCGUGUCAGGAACGCGCUGUAGAGGGCAAGGCCAAAAGCCGGCCUGACUGGAUUUAGCCACGCAACAAAUCCAGAGGCGAAAGCCAGGCCUAGCGAACAACAAUGCCUUAGUAGUGAGGGCUUGUUCUGACAGAAAAACUACCCCGGGGAUAACAGAGUGGUAUCGGGCUAGAGUACCUAUCGACCCCGAUGCUUGCUACCUCGCUGUCGGUUUUUUCCAUCCUGGGUCUGCAGCAGGACCCAAGGGUGGGGUUGUUCGCCCAUUAAAGGAGAACAUGAGCUGGGUUUAGACCGUCGUGAGACAGGUUGGAUGCUAUCUGUUGGGGGUGUCGGAUGUCUGAGCGGAAGGUGGCCCCAGUACGAAAGGAACAGGCUGCCGUGGCCUCUGGUUUACCUGUUGUCUGACAAGGCAUCGCAGGGCAGCUACGCCGCAGGUGAUAAGAGCUGAACGCAUCUAAGCUCGAAGCAUUCCGCAAAAAGAGACAUCCAUUCUCCGGCACGCACGUCGAUCGUGCGAGGCGGGGCUGGCGACAGCAACGCCGCCGGGGACGAAGACCCAUGUAAAACACAUGGUCGAUAGGCUGGGGGUGUACGCAUCAAGCUUCGGCGAGAUGCUCAGCCCGCCAGUACUAAUCGUCUAAGGCAUGGG